ACCUACGGGGGGCAGCAGUGAGGAAUAUUGGUCAAUGGUCGGGAGACUGAACCAGCCAAGCCGCGUGAGGGAUGAAGGUACAGAGUAUCGUAAACCUCUUUUGUCAGGGAACAAAGGCGGGGACGUGUCCCCGGAUGAGUGUACCUGAAGAAAAAGCAUCGGCUAACUCCGUGCCCGCAGCCGCGGUAAUACGGAGGAUGCGAGCGUUAUCCGGAUUUAUUGGGUUUAAAGGGUGCGCAGGCGGUCUGUUAAGUCAGCGGUCAAAGCCCGGGGCUCAACCCCGGCCCGCCGUUGAAAUUGGCAGG
Molecule: ribosomal RNA, 305 nt
Filed under: uncultured bacterium
Lineage: Bacteria
Description: bacterial SSU rRNA
Rfam family: Bacterial small subunit ribosomal RNA
Source: RNAcentral